CUACGGGAGGCAGCAGUGAGGAAUAUUGCGCAAUGGGGGAAACCCUGACGCAGCAACGCCGCGUGGGUGAAGAAGGCCUUCGGGUCGUAAAGCCCUUUCGGACGGGACGAACGUCAUGCGGGGAAACUCGUGUGGCUUGACGGUACCGUAAGAAGAAGCACCGGCUAACCCCGUGCCAGCAGCCGCGGUAAUACGGGGGGUGCAAGCGUUGUUCGGAAUUACUGGGCGUAAAGCGCGUGUAGGCGGCCCUGCAAGUCAGAUGUGAAAGCCCUCGGCUUAACCGGGGAAGUGCAUCUGAAACUGCUUGGCUUGAGUACUGGAGAGGAAGGCGGAAUUACCAGUGUAGAGGUGAAAUUCGUAGAUAUUGGGAGGAACGCCGGUGGCGAAAGCGGCCUUCUGGACAGAUACUGACGCUGAGACGCGAAAGCGUGGGGAGCAAACAGGAUUAGAUACCCUAGUA
Molecule: ribosomal RNA, 460 nt
Filed under: uncultured bacterium
Lineage: Bacteria
Description: bacterial SSU rRNA
Rfam family: Bacterial small subunit ribosomal RNA
Source: RNAcentral